RNAcentral lists this long non-coding RNA (795 nucleotides) under Olea europaea subsp. europaea. The record is from RNAcentral. Lineage: Eukaryota; Viridiplantae; Streptophyta; Magnoliopsida; Lamiales; Oleaceae.
CUGUCUUCUGAGCGGGUGACUGGUCUUCUUUUAACCUCAGAGCUUUCUUCCCUGGCUUUUUACCUUACUAAUGGUUUUGUCCAGCUAAGGGAUAUGUGACAUUUCAAUCUAGCAUGUAUCUAUAGUUUGAGAAAUUGUUACUUAGCAGAAAUAGUUGGGAUUGAGUGGAAUAAUACUUGCUAACUUCCAUUGCAUUCAACAGGUGCAGCACUCGCUUUUGGUUUUGGAGCCGUCACCGGUACCUGCUUUGGACUGGAAAUUGCGAACCAUUGGUUCCAGCUAUAUAGGUUGGAUACAAUGGCUGCGCAGAUGAAGUUCUACGAAUGGCUGCAGAACAGAGCUUGAGGACGGUCUUAAAUUGGACGUGCAUUUAAACCUGGAUGGAAUUUCUCUUUUAGGCAAUAAGAAUCCGUUUGAUCCAGUAUUUUGGUCUUGGUGUCUGGAGAAUUUUUACAAUGCUUGAGGUUAUGCAAAAAUUUCAGUCAGUGGAUUUCUCCCUUUAUUGUCUCCUCAUGCAAUUAUUUUGAGGAAUUAAUGGCAUGUUUACCAAGCUAGAUUAAAUAGUAUUUCUUAAAUAUAAUAAUAGUAAUAAUAAUAAAACAAAGCACAAUGUCUAAUACUAUCAUGUACUUAAAAGAGUAAUGCUAUUUAGUGGUGUGAAGUAUCAUUCUAGGUGACAAUUAUGUGACAGUAUAAUUCAUAUAAAUGCAAUGCCAUAUGAUUUAUUUAAUUGAAUAUAUCGUGUGGCUACCUAGAUUGAUAAUUUAGUACUACUAGUGCUAAAUAACAUUAUUC